CUUUGGGUGUGACUGCGUACCUUUUGUAUAAUGGGUCAGCGACUUAUAUUCUGUAGCAAGGUUAACCGAAUAGGGGAGCCGGAGGGAAACCGAGUCUUAACCGGGCGUUAAGUUGCAGGGUAUAGACCCGAAACCCGGUGAUCUAGCCAUGGGCAGGUUGAAGGUUGGGUAACACUAACUGGAGGACCGAACCGACUAAUGUUGAAAAAUUAGCGGAUGACCUGUGGCUGGGGGUGAAAGGCCAAUCAAACCGGGAGAUAGCUGGUUCUCCCCGAAAGCUAUUUAGGUAGCGCCUCGUGAAUUCAUCUCCGGGGGUAGAGCACUGUUUCGGCUAGGGGGCCAUCCCGGCUUACCAACCCGAUGCAAACUGCGAAUACCGGAGAAUGUUAUCACGGGAGACACACGGCGGGUGCUAACGUCCGUCGUGAAGAGGGAAACAACCCAGACCGCCAGCUAAGGUCCCAAAGUCAUGGUUAAGUGGGAAACGAUGUGGGAAGGCCCAGACAGCCAGGAUGUUGGCUUAGAAGCAGCCAUCAUUUAAAGAAAGCGUAAUAGCUCACUGGUCGAGUCGGCCUGCGCGGAAGAUGUAACGGGGCUAAACCAUGCACCGAAG
Molecule: ribosomal RNA, 613 nt
Filed under: Salmonella enterica subsp. enterica serovar Enteritidis
Lineage: Bacteria; Pseudomonadati; Pseudomonadota; Gammaproteobacteria; Enterobacterales; Enterobacteriaceae
Description: partial 23S ribosomal RNA
Rfam family: Bacterial large subunit ribosomal RNA
Source: RNAcentral